This 30-nucleotide non-coding RNA is filed under the name Rattus norvegicus (Norway rat). Lineage: Eukaryota; Metazoa; Chordata; Mammalia; Rodentia; Muridae. The record is from RNAcentral.
UGCAUUCUCAUAAUAAAUUUUAGCCAAGUC